Long non-coding RNA from Gavialis gangeticus (Gharial), 248 nucleotides. RefSeq lists it as uncharacterized. The record is from RefSeq and is a predicted model, not a curated record. The transcript has 3 exons. NCBI's taxonomy places the organism in Eukaryota, Metazoa, Chordata, Crocodylia, Gavialidae.
UUAAACUUUUCUUGUUUCCCAUCAAUCUGAUGGUUUCAGAAUUUGGUUUUUACAAUAAUGUAGCAGGCUAUUUAAUUCAAUUCCACAGAAAAUGGAGGCAAAAUAAAUUCUGCCUCAGCAGGAAUAGGUAGGUUCCCUUUUGGGUUGCUGGCCAGUCAGUGCCGGUUCCAGUGGAGGACCCCUGCAUCACUGGAAUCUCCCUCUUGGCAUCUAAUGUCAUAGCACCAGUAGGAAGCAAGCUGGACUCA